This 446-nucleotide ribosomal RNA is filed under the name uncultured bacterium. Its description in RNAcentral is "partial 16S ribosomal RNA". It matches the Rfam family "Bacterial small subunit ribosomal RNA", at positions 338 to 795 of the family's 1533-position model. The record is from RNAcentral.
CCUACGGGAGGCAGCAGUCGAGAAUCAUUCACAAUGGGGGAAACCCUGAUGGUGCGACGCCGCGUGGGGGAAUGAAGGUCUUCGGAUUGUAAACCCCUGUCAUGUGGGAGCAAAUUAAAAAGAUAGUACCACAAGAGGAAGAGACGGCUAACUCUGUGCCAGCAGCCGCGGUAAUACAGAGGUCUCAAGCGUUGUUCGGAAUCACUGGGCGUAAGGCGUGCGUAGGCUGUUUCGUAAGUCGUGUGUGAAAGGCGCGGGCUCAACCCGCGGACGGCACAUGAUACUGCGAGACUAGAGUAAUGGAGGGGGAACCGGAAUUCUCGGUGUAGCAGUGACAUGCGUAGAUAUCGAGAGGAACACUCGUGGCGAAGGCGGGUUCCUGGACAUUAACUGACGCUGAGGCACGAAGGCCAGGGGAGCGAAAGGGAUUAGAUACCCUUGUAGUC